RNAcentral lists this ribosomal RNA (171 nucleotides) under uncultured bacterium. RNAcentral's name for it is "partial 16S ribosomal RNA". It matches the Rfam family "Bacterial small subunit ribosomal RNA", at positions 338 to 524 of the family's 1533-position model. The record is from RNAcentral.
CCUACGGGAGGCAGCAGUGGGGAAUUUUCCGCAAUGGGCGAAAGCCUGACGGAGCAAUGCCGCGUGGAGGUAGAAGGCCCACGGGUCAUGAACUUCUUUUCUCAGAGAAGAAGCAAUGACGGUAUCUGAGGAAUAAGCAUCGGCUAACUCUGUGCCAGCAGCCGCGGUAAU